RNAcentral lists this long non-coding RNA (213 nucleotides) under Elaeis guineensis (African oil palm). RNAcentral describes it as "long non-coding RNA (EGUI_LNC041309)". The record is from RNAcentral. Lineage: Eukaryota; Viridiplantae; Streptophyta; Magnoliopsida; Arecales; Arecaceae.
CACCUUUGCCUAUACCUAUGCUUCUAUUCCCUCUACUAGUUGAUCGAUGAGUCCACUAGCAUCUGGAGUAGUAUAUGUAACUGAAAGGUAUGCCACUGACCAGCUACUCGCCAUAGAGGCUAUGAACCAACCAACGAGCUAUAGCUUCAUUGGAAUUGAUUUUGAUUGAAGUAGUCAGCCUAUGGGAUGCAUCUAAAUGCGGCAUAUGGAACC